GCUUAUGCCAGCACCCUGGAUCCUAAGAAUGAAGGAGAAUGGCGUCUGGUGAAAGUAGCAGCCAGCAAUAAAGAUAAAGUUGCAGAAGGUGGUGAACUGAGAGUGUUUUAAAAUAAAAUCCUCUGUGAGAAUGACGGGUGUCAGAAAGUGGGCUUUUCCUUCAAUGCAAAACACAAUGGAGAAUGUCAAUCCUUCUCUUUAGUGGGAGAGAAAGCUGAACAUCAUGACUACUACAC
This is a long non-coding RNA of Suncus etruscus (white-toothed pygmy shrew), 236 nucleotides long. RefSeq lists it as uncharacterized. The transcript has 3 exons. NCBI's taxonomy places the organism in Eukaryota, Metazoa, Chordata, Mammalia, Eulipotyphla, Soricidae. The record is from RefSeq and is a predicted model, not a curated record.